RNAcentral lists this transfer RNA (69 nucleotides) under Deielia phaon. Its description in RNAcentral is "tRNA-Trp". Lineage: Eukaryota; Metazoa; Arthropoda; Insecta; Odonata; Libellulidae. The record is from RNAcentral.
AAGACUUUAUGUUAAAUAAACAACUAACCUUCAAAGUUAGCAUUAUAAGUUGUAAUCUUUUAAGUCUUA